This 478-nucleotide ribosomal RNA is filed under the name Boana raniceps (Chaco treefrog). RNAcentral's name for it is "partial large subunit ribosomal RNA". It matches the Rfam family "Bacterial large subunit ribosomal RNA", at positions 1926 to 2555 of the family's 2925-position model. Lineage: Eukaryota; Metazoa; Chordata; Amphibia; Anura; Hylidae. The record is from RNAcentral.
AACGGCCGCGGUAUCCUAACCGUGCGAAGGUAGCGUAAUCACUUGUUCUUUAAAUGAGGACUAGUAUGAAUGGCACCACGAGGGUUAAACUGUCUCCUUUUUUUAAUCAGUGAAACUAAUCUCCCCGUGAAGAAGCGGGGAUUCUUUUAUAAGACGAGAAGACCCUAUGGAGCUUUAAACAAGUUAACACCUGCUACUAAUAUUCACUUUCCUGAACCACCACAUUAAGUAUAGCACCUCUGAUUAACAGUUUUCGAUUGGGGUGAUCAUGGAGCAAAAAUCAACCUCCACGACGAAAAGGAACACCUCCUUGAGCCAAAAGCUACAACUUUAAGCACUAAAAAACUAACGCACUUUGACCCAAUUCUUUGAGCAACGAACCAAGUUACCCUAGGGAUAACAGCGCAAUCCACUUUAAGAGCUCCUAUCGACAAGUGGGUUUACGACCUCGAUGUUGGAUCAGGGUAUCCCAGUGGUG